UGCCAGACUCCUACGGGAGGCAGCAGUGGGGAAUAUUGCACAAUGGGGGAAACCCUGAUGCAGCGACGCCGCGUGAGCGAAGAAGUAUUUCGGUAUGUAAAGCUCUAUCAGCAGGGAAGAAAUUGACGGUACCUGACUAAGAAGCCCCGGCUAACUACGUGCCAGCAGCCGCGGUAAUACGUAGGGGGCAAGCGUUAUCCGGAUUUACUGGGUGUAAAGGGAGCGUAGGCGGUUAGAUAAGUCUGAUGUGAAAGCCCACAGCUUAACUGUGGGAUUGCAUUGGAAACUAUAGAACUAGAGUGUCGGAGAGGUAAGUGGAAUUCCUAGUGUAGCGGUGAAAUGCGUAGAUAUCAGGAGGAACACCGGUGGCGAAGGCGGCCUGCUGGACCGUGACUGACGUUGAGGCUCGAGAGCGUGGGGAGCAAACAGGAUUAGAUACCCUAGUAC
This 447-nucleotide ribosomal RNA is filed under the name uncultured bacterium. RNAcentral describes it as "partial 16S ribosomal RNA". It matches the Rfam family "Bacterial small subunit ribosomal RNA", at positions 329 to 793 of the family's 1533-position model. The record is from RNAcentral.